UUCUUUAAAUGGGGACUUGUAUCAACGGCACCACGAGGGUUAGACUGUCUCCUUUUUCAAAUCAGUGAAAUUAAUCUCCCCGUGAAGAAGCGGGGAUACUCAUAUAAGACGAGAAGACCCCAUGGAGCUUCAAACCCAACUACACCCCUAGCUCUUAUAGCCCCACAACCCCCCUAGGCACCGUGUGCUUGGUUUUAGGUUGGGGCGACCGCGGAGUACAAUAAAACCUCCACAAUGAAUGGGAACACCCCCUUAUCUGAGGGCCACACCCCCUAAGAAUUAGAACACUAACAUAAAAUGAUCCAUUACUUGAUCAAUGAACCAAGUUACCCUGGGGAUAACAGCGCAAUCCAUUUCAAGAGCCCCUAUCGACAAAUGGGUUUACGACCUCGAUGUUGGAUCAGGGUACCCCAGUGGUGCAGCAGCUACUAA
This 432-nucleotide ribosomal RNA is filed under the name Mantidactylus melanopleura. RNAcentral describes it as "partial 16S ribosomal RNA". It matches the Rfam family "Bacterial large subunit ribosomal RNA", at positions 1972 to 2568 of the family's 2925-position model. Lineage: Eukaryota; Metazoa; Chordata; Amphibia; Anura; Mantellidae. The record is from RNAcentral.